GUGGAUUAGAUACCCUAGUAGUCCACGCCCUAAACGAUGCGAACUGGAUGUUGGGCACACUUAGGUGCUCAGUGUCGAAGCUAACGCGUUAAGUUCGCCGCCUGGGGAGUACGGUCGCAAGACUGAAACUCAAAGGAAUUGACGGGGGCCCGCACAAGCGGUGGAGUAUGUGGUUUAAUUCGAUGCAACGCGAAGAACCUUACCUGGCCUUGACAUGUCCGGAAUCCUGCAGAGAUGCGGGAGUGCCUUCGGGAAUCGGAACACAGGUGCUGCAUGGUUGUCGCCAGCU
This 289-nucleotide ribosomal RNA is filed under the name uncultured bacterium. RNAcentral's name for it is "partial 16S ribosomal RNA". It matches the Rfam family "Bacterial small subunit ribosomal RNA", at positions 773 to 1060 of the family's 1533-position model. The record is from RNAcentral.